RNAcentral lists this ribosomal RNA (386 nucleotides) under uncultured bacterium. Its description in RNAcentral is "bacterial SSU rRNA". It matches the Rfam family "Bacterial small subunit ribosomal RNA", at positions 28 to 417 of the family's 1533-position model. The record is from RNAcentral.
GACGAACGCUGGCGGCGUGCUUAACACAUGCAAGUCGAGCGGUAAGGCCCUUUCGGGGGUACACGAGCGGCGAACGGGUGAGUAACACGUGGGUGACCUGCCCUUAGCUCUGGGAUAAGCCUGGGAAACUGGGUCUAAUACCGGAUAUGACUCCAUGACGCAUGUUGUGGGGUGAAAGCCUUGUGCGGCCAGGGAUGGGCCCGCGGCCUAUCAGCUUGUUGGUGGGGUGAUGGCCACCAAGGCGACGACGGGUAGCCGGCCUGAGAGGGCGACCGGCCACACUGGGACUGAGACACGGCCCAGACUCCUACGGGAGGCAGCAGUGGGGAAUCUUGCGCAAUGGGCGAAAGCCUGACGCAGCGACGCCGCGUGAGGGAUGACGGCCU